This 460-nucleotide ribosomal RNA is filed under the name uncultured bacterium. Its description in RNAcentral is "partial 16S ribosomal RNA". It matches the Rfam family "Bacterial small subunit ribosomal RNA", at positions 338 to 795 of the family's 1533-position model. The record is from RNAcentral.
CCUACGGGGGGCAGCAGUGAGGAAUAUUGGUCAAUGGACGAGAGUCUGAACCAGCUAAGUAGCGUGAAGGAUGACUGCCCUAUGGGUUGUAAACUUCUUUUAUAUGGGAAUAAAAUGUUCCACGUGUGGGAUUUUGUAUGUACCAUAUGAAUAAGGAUCGGCUAACUCCGUGCCAGCAGCCGCGGUAAUACGGAGGAUCCGAGCGUUAUCCGGAUUUAUUGGGUUUAAAGGGAGCGUAGGUGGAUUGUUAAGUCAGUUGUGAAAGUUUGCGGCUCAACCGUAAAAUUGCAGUUGAAACUGGCAGUCUUGAGUACAGUAGAGGUGGGCGGAAUUCGUGGUGUAGCGGUGAAAUGCUUAGAUAUCACGAAGAACUCCGAUUGCGAAGGCAGUUCACUGGACUGCAACUGACACUGAGGCUCGAAAGUGUGGGUAUCAAACAGGAUUAGAUACCCGAGUAGUC